AGCUUUGCGCAGUGGCAGUAUCGUAGCCAAUGAGGUUUAUCCGAGGCGCAAUUAUUGCUAAUAGAUUAUCUAUUCUG
RNAcentral lists this small nuclear RNA (77 nucleotides) under Panthera pardus (leopard). RNAcentral describes it as "U4 spliceosomal RNA (ENSPPRG00000017487.1)". The stretch from base 1 to 65 matches the Rfam family "U4 spliceosomal RNA". From Rfam's summary of the family: U4 small nuclear RNA (U4 snRNA) is a component of the major U2-dependent spliceosome. The structure of U4 snRNA from yeast and human has been reported. U4 snRNA presents a k-turn RNA motif in the 5p-SL related to recognition of Snu13 protein. Lineage: Eukaryota; Metazoa; Chordata; Mammalia; Carnivora; Felidae. The record is from RNAcentral.